Long non-coding RNA from Halichondria panicea, 2226 nucleotides. RefSeq lists it as uncharacterized. The record is from RefSeq and is a predicted model, not a curated record. The transcript has 4 exons. NCBI's taxonomy places the organism in Eukaryota, Metazoa, Porifera, Demospongiae, Suberitida, Halichondriidae.
UCUUAUUUCACUGUCAAGGUCAACAUCACUAAAUCUUGCUUCCCUUGAAAUUCCCUAUAGAGCGUGGAUCUAAUUUGCAAAAUAUCUGCAAUUCGUGUCCAAGUAAAUCCGAAGGAAUUAAUAUCUUAUACUCAUCUGGUACUCAUCUGGUAAGGUAGUUAUCGUGUUAAUUUAUAUUCUUAACCCUUUAACCGUCGGAUUCUUAAUUUCUAUCGGGCGGCUCUCGUUUUUCCUCCUUUGGACGGAACAGGAAAAAAACCAAAGUGUGGAAGGUUGUGCCUGUUUGCAGUACUGUCCCUAAGAGAGGGACAAUUGUGCCGAAUGGGACUCGGCAGCAAAUGGUUCACCGCUGAAGACCGGCUAGAAAUUGCCGACUAUCUCUCUGCUGAAGAGUUGCAUUUCCUGAUUGUUUGUCUCUACCCCCAACUAAAAGGAAAACCUUACGAGUUUUGUAAAGCAGCCCCGGUAACAGUGUCAUUUUCACCCUUAAAAUCAGUGAUGAGAGCUAGACGUGGGAAGACCUUUCAUCCUUUUUUCAGUGUCAAUCAGUUAAGGGAACAGGUGGGCAAAGUUUAUAUAAGGUCCUUCACUGACUGAAAUUGAGGCAAGUUGCUUGUUUACUCCACAGUAUGAAGUGCAUUAUCCAUAAUUAUAUAAUUAUAUAAGCGCCCCCUCAAUGUGAAGAAAUGUUACCGCCGUAUUGAGUAUUAGCAUCCAUGCAUUCUCUUUGGUACUAUGACUAAUUAUCUACAAUUAUUGCGCAUUGCUAUAUACUGCAUGCUUUUAGGGAACUCCCAAUUUUGACCAUACCAUGCAAGUAUUUGCUGUGCAUGCUAGCUAGCACUGUGUCACUGAAGUGCAGUGUAGCACACAUCUCAUUGUAUUUUCCUCCACAGAAACACAGUAAUCUAUGACAGGCACAAAGAGGCUCCCCCUAACCUCCUGCAAACCUUUAUUGUGUUGAACUGGUCAUGUGUACACGUGUAGGGGGUCAGAGGUCGGAGUGAGGUCUAUUGCAGUUUGUGUGACUUUGCUUUUUGUUAGCCGCUACUUUAAAGUUCAUUUUUAUUUUAGAAAGUGGUUAAAUCUCAAGUCUCAAGUGUGCCACGGGACCCAAGGCUAGGUAGACGUCUCCUACUGGUCAACUUGAAACUGCAACUGAUAUUGAUGACCAGAUCCCACUGCCUUCUGCUGCAACUGAUGAUGAUGACCAGAUCGGCCCCCAUCACUGACUCAACUCUGGGCUCUCUACGCGAACCCAUUGAAGUGACUCGUGCCAUUAUGCAUCAACAAGAUGAAGAGUAUGCCGAUAGCGAGAUCAAGAAAUGUGUAUGUGUGUGUGACCUUUGCAUUAACGUGCACUGCAGGAAAGGAUACAGGAUACGUGUAGAAAAUAACGAGGAAGAAGCUAGAAAGUUACGAAUAGAUGAGGUAACAUUACUAUAACAAUUUUAAUUACAGUGGUACAAACGAAACGUGACAUGAAAGGGUCAGUGAUUCCCGAACCUGCUGAAGGACUUGAUGGUGUGGUCCACAUUCGGGUCAGACUCCCCAAUGGACAGCGGACAGCGUGUUUCAAGAAGAUUCAACGGCUCUGAUGAUGUGAAGGAGCUCACUGCUUUUGUUGGAUCACAGGAGUGCAUCAACCUGAGACAUUUUCGUCUGCUUGUCAGUGACGUACCCCAUUGGCGGGUUUUGUGUGAUGAGGGGUCACUCAGAGCAGCUGGAAUCCAAGCAUUCACACUUGUAACUGCUGAGAACACUACUGUAAGUGCAAGUAUGUGGGACUGUGCUCUAAAAAAAUUAUAGCCUCUGUUGAGUAAUGAUUUUGUAUCUUGUAUUUUGUGCAUACGUAACUUUGUUUUGUGAGGGUUCCAAGAGAAUCGAGUGUUCCGAGAGAAUCGAGUGUUCUGGGUAGCCCAAUCUACAACGACCAUAGUAUGAUGCAGGAUGACGUUUCUCCUGACCUCGCCAAUUUUAUGGACCUAACUGAGACUGAUGAGACUGAUGACAAUGAAGACAAAGGGUCAUCUGUUCUAAGCCGCUUCAACUAUUGCGAUUAACAUUGAAUGGCGUGCACCAAGUCGAGGUUGGUCGUCUUUGAGAAGUGUAUCGUAACAACCCGAACAUUGUUCAGGUAUUGAUGGAGUGGGAUUAUCAAGAGAAUUGUUCUCUGCAUUUUGGCAAAGUGAGAAAAUUCCUAUCAUCACUCCUGAAACGACUUUC